GAGGGUAUAGCUCAGUGGUGGAGUGAGUGCAUGCUUAGCACGCACAAGGUCCUGGGUUCAAUCCCCAGCACCUCCA
RNAcentral lists this transfer RNA (76 nucleotides) under Camelus bactrianus (Bactrian camel). It matches the Rfam family "tRNA". Rfam says of the family: Transfer RNA (tRNA) molecules are approximately 80 nucleotides in length. Their secondary structure includes four short double-helical elements and three loops (D, anti-codon, and T loops). RNAcentral also lists the same sequence under 2 other names. The record is from Rfam by way of RNAcentral. Lineage: Eukaryota; Metazoa; Chordata; Mammalia; Artiodactyla; Camelidae.